UGCAAGUCGAGCGGGGGAAGGUAGCUUGCUACUGGACCUAGCGGCGGACGGGUGAGUAAUACUUAGGAAUCUGCCUAUUAGUGGGGGACAACGUUCCGAAAGGAGCGCUAAUACCGCAUACGCCCUACGGGGGAAAGCAGGGGAUCUUCGGACCUUGCGCUAAUAGAUGAGCCUAAGUCGGAUUAGCUAGUUGGUGGGGUAAAGGCCUACCAAGGCGACGAUCUGUAGCGGGUUUGAGAGGAUGAUCCGCCACACUGGGACUGAGACACGGCCCAGACUCCUACGGGAGGCAGCAGUGGGGAAUAUUGGACAAUGGGCGCAAGCCUGAUCCAGCCAUGCCGCGUGUGUGAAGAAGGCCUUAUGGUUGUAAAGCACUUUAAGCGAGGAGGAGGCUUACCUGGUUAAUACCUAGGAUAAGUGGACGUUACUCGCAGAAUAAGCACCGGCUAACUCUGUGCCAGCAGCCGCGGUAAUACAGAGGGUGCAAGCGUUAAUCGGAAUUACUGGGCGUAAAGCGCGCGUAGGUGGCCAUUUAAGUCAAAUGUGAAAUCCCCGAGCUUAACUUGGGAAUUGCAUUCGAUACUGGAUGGCUAGAGUAUAGGAGAGGAAGGUAGAAUUCCAGGUGUAGCGGUGAAAUGCGUAGAGAUCUGGAGGAAUACCGAUGGCGAAGGCAGCCUUCUGGCCUAAUACUGACACUGAGGUGCG
This 705-nucleotide ribosomal RNA is filed under the name uncultured Acinetobacter sp. RNAcentral's name for it is "bacterial SSU rRNA". It matches the Rfam family "Bacterial small subunit ribosomal RNA", at positions 56 to 755 of the family's 1533-position model. Lineage: Bacteria; Pseudomonadati; Pseudomonadota; Gammaproteobacteria; Moraxellales; Moraxellaceae. The record is from RNAcentral.